AAAAACACAGCACUGUGCAAAAUCGUAAGAUGACGUAUACGGUGUGACGCCUGCCCGGUGCCGGAAGGUUAAUUGAUGGGGUUAGACUUCGGUCGAAGCUCUUGAUCGAAGCCCCGGUAAACGGCGGCCGUAACUAUAACGGUCCUAAGGUAGCGAAAUUCCUUGUCGGGUAAGUUCCGACCUGCACGAAUGGCGUAAUGAUGGCCACGCUGUCUCCACCCGAGACUCAGUGAAAUUGAAAUCGCUGUGAAGAUGCAGUGUACCCGCGGCUAGACGGAAAGACCCCGUGAACCUUUACUACAGCUUGGCACUGAACAUUGACCCUACAUGUGUAGGAUAGGUGGGAGGCUUUGAAGCAGGUACGCCAGUAUCUGUGGAGCCGUCCUUGAAAUACCACCCUUGUAGUGUUGAUGUUCUAACGUCGACCCCUAAUCGGGGUUGCGGACAGUGCCUGGUGGGUAGUUUGACUGGGGCGGUCUCCUCCCAAAGAGUAACGGAGGAGCACGAAGGUGGGCUAAUCACGGUUGGACAUCGUGAGGUUAGUGCAAUGGCAUAAGCCCGCUUGACUGCGAGAAUGACAAUUCGAGCAGGUGCGAAAGCAGGUCAUAGUGAUCCGGUGGUUCUGAAUGGAAGGGCCAUCGCUCAACGGAUAAAAGGUACUCCGGGGAUAACAGGCUGAUACCGCCCAAGAGUUCAUAUCGACGGCGGUGUUUGGCACCUCGAUGUCGGCUCAUCACAUCCUGGGGCUGAAGUCGGUCCCAAGGGUAUGGCUGUUCGCCAUUUAAAGUGGUACGCGAGCUGGGUUUAGAACGUCGUGAGACAGUUCGGUCCCUAUCUGCCGUGGGCGUUGGAAGAUUGAAGGGGGCUGCUCCUAGUACGAGAGGACCGGAGUGGACGAACCUCUGGUGUUCGGGUUGUGUCGCCAGACGCAUUGCCCGGUAGCUAAGUUCGGAAUCGAUAACCGCUGAAAGCAUCUAAGCGGGAAGCGAGCCCUGAGAUGAGUCUUCCCUGAUACUUUAAGUAUCCUAAAGGGUUGUCGGAGACUACGACGUUGAUAGGUCAGGUGUGUAAGUGCUGUGAGGCAUUGAGCUAACUGAUACUAAUUGCCCGUGAGGCUUAACCAUACAACACCCAAGGGGUUU
This 1142-nucleotide ribosomal RNA is filed under the name Vibrio parahaemolyticus. RNAcentral's name for it is "partial 23S ribosomal RNA". It matches the Rfam family "Bacterial large subunit ribosomal RNA", at positions 1809 to 2925 of the family's 2925-position model. Lineage: Bacteria; Pseudomonadati; Pseudomonadota; Gammaproteobacteria; Vibrionales; Vibrionaceae. The record is from RNAcentral.